Chrysemys picta bellii (western painted turtle) is the source of this 1084-nucleotide long non-coding RNA. RefSeq lists it as uncharacterized. The record is from RefSeq and is a predicted model, not a curated record. Lineage: Eukaryota; Metazoa; Chordata; Testudines; Emydidae.
CUGGGCGCUGAUCAACGUGUGGUCAGAGUACGCUGUCCUCCAUGACUUCGCCUGGGUCGUCAGGAACGUCAACUUCUACCAGGAAAUAUCACAGAGACUGGAGCAGGUGGGCACUGAGCAGACUCAGGCCCAGUGCCAGGAAUGCAUCAAGCACCUUAGGUUCCUGUACAGGAGGGCAAAGGAAUCAAACAGUCACUCUGGGAGGGUGCAUUGCACAUGCUCAUUUGAUGACAAGCUGGAGCAGGUGUUCUCAACGGUUCCCAGUACAGAGCCUGAAAUGGCUCGUGACCCCCUCCUCAACCCUGCCGGCCUCAUUGUCCGUCAGGAUGGCAAUGAGGGCCAGGCUGAGGAGGCAGCAGGGACCAUGGAGGAUGCCCCGGAAGAUCCAGAGGAUGAUGAACAUGUGAUUCUGCACUACUAUCUGGGAACACCAGUUGAAGAAGACUCCUCUUUCCCCCACACAACGAACCUGAGGAGGAACCCGAGUCACAGCAAGAACCAGAACCAAGCUAACUUUCAGCUCUCAAGAGAGAAAACAUUCCACCAGGAGGGCAGGAGUAGCAUCCCAGAGACAGCAGAAGCUGGUGGAGAAGGACCCUGGAAGAGCUGCUCAUAGGGAUGGACAGGAGGAACCAGGAGCAAUUUGAGUUCCUCAAGGCACAGAAGGAGCUGACUCUUCAGCAGGAAGAGAAACUGAUGAAUUGGUUCAUGGAGCUGGAAGCACACCUCAGGGUACAGGAGCAUGCCGUAAUGGAGAGGGUGCUGCAAAGGGGGACGAUCCAAUACUCCAAGUGACCAUGAGGAGCCUUCAGGAUUCCUGGGACCACAUCCUCCACAGACACCCAAAACCCCUCACAGGGGAACAUCCAUGAACAUCCGGGAAGGGAAUGAUGAUCCUGGGGGAAUCCCUGAAGCCCACCAAGUGUCUGCCUCCCAAACCCCACACAGGAAACAUCCGUGUUUGUCCCCAAGAACAAUUUCACCCCAUCAUUCCCCCCUUUGUUGGGAGGAAGGGAGAGCAAGGGGAUGGGUUCAGAGACAUUAACAUUUGGCCAUUAUUCAUAGAUUCAGUCCAAUUAUGUUC